This 835-nucleotide ribosomal RNA is filed under the name Strelitziomyces knysnanus. RNAcentral's name for it is "partial large subunit ribosomal RNA". It matches the Rfam family "Eukaryotic large subunit ribosomal RNA", at positions 76 to 939 of the family's 3401-position model. Lineage: Eukaryota; Fungi; Ascomycota; Sordariomycetes; Xylariales; Anungitiomycetaceae. The record is from RNAcentral.
UGCCCUAGUAACGGCGAGUGAAGCGGCAACAGCUCAAAUUUGAAAUCUGGCUCUCGGGCCCGAGUUGUAAUUUGUAGAGGAUGCUUUUGGUGCGGUGCCUUCCAAGUUCCCUGGAACGGGACGCCUUAGAGGGUGAGAGCCCCGUACGGUUGGACACCAAGCCUCUGUAAAGCUCCUUCGACGAGUCGAGUAGUUUGGGAAUGCUGCUCAAAAUGGGAGGUAAAUUUCUUCUAAAGCUAAAUACCGGCCAGAGACCGAUAGCGCACAAGUAGAGUGAUCGAAAGAUGAAAAGUACUUUGAAAAGAGGGUUAAACAGCACGUGAAAUUGUUGAAAGGGAAGCACUUAUGACCAGACUUUCUCCAGGCGGAUCAUCCGGUGUUCUCACCGGUGCACUUCGCCUGGUCAAGGCCAGCAUCGGUUUCUGCGGGGGGACAAAAGCUUCGGGAAUGUGGCUCGCCUCGGCGAGUGUUAUAGCCCGUUGUAUAAUACCCCCGCGGGGACCGAGGUCCGCGCAUUGCAAGGAUGCUGGCGUAAUGGUUAUCAGUGACCCGUCUUGAAACACGGACCAAGGAGUCGAACAUUUAUGCGAGUGUUUGGGUGUUAAACCCUCACGCGUAAUGAAAGUGAACGGAGGUGAGAGCCCUCGGGUGCAUCAUCGACCGAUCCUGAAGUCUUCGGAUGGAUUUGAGUAAGAGCAUAACUGUUCGGACCCGAAAGAUGGUGAACUAUGCGUGGAUAGGGUGAAGCCAGAGGAAACUCUGGUGGAGGCUCGCAGCGGUUCUGACGUGCAAAUCGAUCGUCAAAUCUGCGCAUGGGGGCGAAAGACUAAUCGAA